Molecule: long non-coding RNA, 4809 nt
Organism: Bombus huntii
Lineage: Eukaryota; Metazoa; Arthropoda; Insecta; Hymenoptera; Apidae
Exons: 2
Source: RefSeq, a predicted model, not a curated record
CUGGGUCGUGUGAGUAACACCGUGACGUCCCACGUUCGGACACGGGUCACAGACAGUAGGCUUUGCCGAGUUUUCUUCGGUCGAUCGCCGGCUAAACGAUUUCUUAUGCCGCGACAUUGAACACUGCGAUGUCGAGAAUCGAACAAAACCACGUCUUUCGUCUUUUUCUUCAUUUAUUUUCUGUCUUCUCUCUCGACAGAGUGCGCUUCAACGAAGAACAAAUCUCGCGAGUGCACCGAGCGACAACGAUACUUUCACUCGACCAUCGUCAGGUGUUUCUCAACUCCUUGCCUUACGAUGUUUUUUACUAGCCACCUCGGUGAGCCUUAUUCCACGCUAUGACACCGUGUCAAACGCAAAAUAUCGAAACGUUACGAAGAAUCGAAGCUAAAAUCGUAGAUAGUCUCUUUUUCCUCUUUGUGCGUACCCGACUCCUUCACAGCUGUUAACUAGUUCAUGCGCCAUGUUUUCAUCAAGUUUAUUCAUUCUUUACCGAGGAUUAUUCUCUGCAAGUGGAAAUCGCAUAAGUUACUUACAUAUUUGUUCGCUACGAAUCCAUGGAAAUACGUGCUUAGCAAAAGCGCGAUCGAAUUCUCUUAUUGAAAAAGUAUUUGACGAAUCUUUUGAGUUGGGCGAUAGAAGAAACGGCAGACUAUGGAAGAAACCGGAGGAAGCUUCGCUCGUGUUUACAAUGUUUAGCUUCCGCUAUAGCUGCGCUAUUUAGUUAUCGCGAUGGGAAAGUUUAUCCACGAUAUGGUGGCGCGAUCGGCUGCACAUAGAUACAUCUUACAUACGGUGAACGAGGGAAUAUCGCAAAUUCCCUGACGGCACGGAUGGCAAAGGCAUUCUGGCGUAGCAAUUACCUGCAGGGCGAGGGAGUCAAGUAGCAAUAUCUGGACCCGUUAUCCAGUUCGGUUAUCCCGACUGGAAUGCUUUGUGUCGCCGGCAAUCUGCAUUUCUACCUGUUUGAAUGGAAGUCUAUGAGAUCCGCGGCAUGAUUUCAAAUGAAAUCGACUCUUUGUCCCCUGGCCGGAAAUUUCCAAUUCAAUAACGCGCCCAGGGAAACGCUGCAGAAACGACCGAUUGAUUGAUACUCGGAAUUGGAUGGAACGCGAAAGGAUGGAAAAAGUUUUACUGCCGAUCGAUCGUCAUUCGAGAAAUUUGAAUGUCUUACAUGUAACCAAGAGCUAAUCCUGAAUCGAUUCGUUGGAUCUUAUUAAAGUUAUUAUUCAACUUCGUACACGUACAUAUUACACGUUACGAAUACUACGUAUCGGGAAACGUUAAUAGAAUAUUUAAAAUGGCGAUGAAUUUUAAGCCUGACGAACGUCCGAAUGUGCAUUGUAUUUUAGCAACUGUAGGCGUAUCGCUUCCUUUAGUUGGCUUUGGGAGAUUUUCUUCCAUUGGAACCUAUGAAUGACUAGUCGAGAACUUGCCCGGCAACCCUUUGCAAUGCAUUAGAAUUUCGCAGCUAUCAAGGGAGGAAGGCGACAUUAGCAUCGAGGCUAAGGACACCCUUGCUUCGCGUUCGCGUCUUAUGUUUUCGUCGGCCCGGUAUUCAUGAACGGGGUUCUGACGUGGGGCAUUCGACUUCCUUCUCCUUCAUGAAUUUACAAUCGACCGAAGGAAAUGCGCAGACGAAGCUUGCGCGUGCCAUUCCCCGAGAAACAGCGCUAAAUACCAGAAGCUUCAAUGCUCAUUCCAUCGCUUUAGGUAUGAGUUAUAAGAUUUGUCAUAACGUAUACUUAACGAACAAUGGGAUAGAAACUUUUAUUCCUCUUCGAGGAAUUAUCACUGGCAUCACAGAGACGUAUCGAGUCUCUUCGUAGUUGUACAUACAUACAUAAGUACCUCUAUAGAUCGCACGAUAGUUGUCAGAAAUGACUAAAAAGCCGACGGUUCUGCUAAUCGUAUCAAGCUACGGCAACAAAUCCAUGGUCCAGCUAAUAAGAACGCUAGUGUCGAAGGACGAGGGAAAGAGAGAAAUAAUAACGAGGAAGAUAGAGAUUGGAGGUUUAGUGGGCGAGGGUGAACGUGGUGAGGGAAAGCGGAUGGAGGCUGGAGCCACGUGCUGCUGUCACUGGCACAGAUUAUAUUAUAUAGGAAUGGCAGCGAAUAGGUGUAGAUAUAAGCGUCGAGCGGCAGUUAAUAAAUAUGAUAAUGGCGGGCGAAGUGAGAGAAAGAGAGGGGUGUGUGGGGUGCGAUAUGGGAUACCAGUGUAUAAGAGUGACCACCAGAAGCAGAGGCCUGUCACCGUCAGGACCUCUCGUAUGUCAUGCGACGCACGCACCUAUACAUACAUGCACAUACAAAGUGGCGACACGCGCGCGAUGACAGCAUCGAGCGUGGAACGCGUGCUACUAUCUUUUUCUUCCAUUUUUCUCUCCUUUGCCGUGAUAUAAUUGUUGACGCGAUUACUCGAUUCCAAUGAGAACUAUUUAAAUAAAAAAGUUGGCUGUCUUCCUUAAAUUUGUCGACUUUUUUAUUUUUAGCAACUGUUUUAGUUUGCGUUUCUACGACACCUAUCCAAUCGUCUCGACAAAGCAUUCGAUGCAAUUAUUACGCGAUUAACAGAACAUAUAUUCUCCUUCGCUUUAGAUCUCUCCGAAGAACUACAAAUUACACCACGGGAGAUCGCACGACCUAGGAAAUACAUGGAAACGGAAAAUCGUUGAAGGGUCAUCGUCGUCAGUGGUGGCAGUAAUUCGCGAAAUUUCAUAAUAUCACGACGAACCGUUGGAGCAGGAAAGGAAAAAAAGAGCGAAGAAUACGGCCGGUUUCCCCUCGGCUUUCAUUAAUCUCACUUCCUCCGCGGAAGUCGGAAACAGUUUUCUGCUGUGCAACCUUUCCCUUUUGACCCGGUAAAUUGCGCGCGCGCGCGCGCGCGGGCGUACGCACGCCAGCCACGUCGUGUACCUGUAUCCGCUCUUCCAGGAGCAAUUAGUCACGGUGCUCUUGAUAAAUCGCCGGAAUCCUACCCCCGUGGGGUUAAGUCUCGGCUGUAGACCCUCGGCAAAUAUCCAAUAACAGCCGUCCGACUCCUGGCGGUCGCUUCGCCUCUCUACGUGUAUAACCGGGUAUUAACCUUCACCUAUCGAGGAGAUCGGCUUACCUUAAUAAUCGUAGAGCUACACCGUCGCAGUCUAAGGGGGUUACGACGUUACGAGGCCAGGAACACGCGGCGCUGGCUCGCGCAAGGGUGUUUCCAUGGCACUAGUCGCAAAGCUGGUUCGUUCCGCACCAUGAGAAACAGGUACGAUCAAAAAUCGUCGGAGAUGUAAUGAAACAUUCUUAGCCUCUUCUCUCUUGGAUAGAACGUUGGAUAGGAGGAGUGCGGGAUCGUUCGUUGGAUUUGAUCGGGCCGUUGAUUGCUCCAUGUGCAGGAGUAAUUGGUCGAGUUUCUGAGAUUUUUUAUAUAGAUAUCUUUCGCAUUUCUUAAUUCUACGAUGCGCGACGGAUGCCGCGAUGAGUCGAUGAACGAUGGAAAAUGAUAUAGGUUUCUUAGAGGCGAAUCGGACUACGAAGUAUUUGCUACGAAGCGUCUUUAGAAAUUCUGCGAAUUCUUAGAAUUGUAUUCAUACAUUUUCCCUAAGUUCGUGCCUUCUUAUUUGCACGAGGGAUGUUAAAAAAUAGACCGAGUCGGAUAAUACAAAGGAAACAGCCGCCUCGGCAUUCUGAUGACUUGCCGAAUCUCGACGAUCGGCGCUUUCGGACUCGUGUCAAUCCGUGCCCCAUUCAGAUGUAUUCGAUUCUUUGUCCAACCCCUCGGAGGUUAACAAGAAGAGGGGGGAGGAAAGAAAGAGAAACGCAGAGAAGAUGGGAUAGGACAGGAUAGGAUAGGAUCGACGCACGUUUCGGCGUAUUCCACGUAACAUGCUCGUUCCUUUGAAUAAGUAUCGUUUUAUUAAUAUCUCUGUCGUUAUUUACAAAACUUUGUAAUAAUCUCUAAUUUUCUUCACCGUCACACGCUACUCGCUAUUCGUCAAUCGUUAUACUUUUACGCUUUUGUGUACCUGUGUACGUAUGUACCGUGUAAUCAGUGUGUACAUGUAUGCGUUGGUUGUGUGUGUGUGCGCGUGUGUGUGUAUGCGUGUUAUAUUAAUGUCGAUAAUGCUCGAGUUUGCUAAAUCGUUUACAGUAGAACGUGAAUGUUCCUUACCGGCGUCGUCGUCGAAAUCCACCGCUUUUCAACUUUGGAGCCGACUUCUACCACUUCUUUUUAUAAUUCUUUCUCGCGUCGUCUUCGUCGCGUAUGCGCCUAAACACCAGCAUACCACACAUUAUAUUUACACCAUCGGAUUCACACCUGUGACCUCGUUAUCACAGCGCGCACGCCGCCUUUUUUCUCUCUCUCUCGCGCUCUCUCUCUCUCUCUCUCUCUCUCUCGCUCUCGCUCUUCUUUUUACAUUCGGCACGUUUUGUUUUCGUCUUCAUCGUCGUUGUCGACCGUGGAAAAUCGAUUCUCUCUUCUGCACAAGCAAACCGCGUCACAAUUUCGCGACGGAUGCGAGAAAUACGCCGUAAUAUACAUCUCUAACUAUGUACACGCGUGUCUCCAGCUCGACGUAUCCGCCUGAAACACGCUCGCGACACGGUUUCAUCGUUUCCAUGCGAAGAGAAAGAAAGGAAACGUUGGAUCCGAGUCGUUCAAUUGAACAAACCACGCGCUUGGUCGAUUAAUCUGUUUCGACUCUUACGACUCUAAUGUAAGUCAUGCUCGUGCUCUUUCACCUCCGUCUUUUUCGACUCUGCCGCUCGGAAUCGUGAAAAUUGAAAGAAUACUAUUUCACUACGUGAUUCGCGGAUGUA